CCCUGCCAUUUGUACACACCGCCCGUCGCUACUACCGAUUGAAUGGCUUAGUGAGGCCUCCGGAUUGGCGUCGGGGAGCCGGAAACGGCACCCCUUUGCUGAGAAGCUGGUCAAACUUGGUCAUUUAGAGGAAGUAAAAGUCGUAACAAGGUU
RNAcentral lists this ribosomal RNA (153 nucleotides) under uncultured eukaryote. RNAcentral describes it as "partial small subunit ribosomal RNA". It matches the Rfam family "Eukaryotic small subunit ribosomal RNA", at positions 1651 to 1801 of the family's 1831-position model. The record is from RNAcentral.